GACGAACGCUGGCGGCGUGCUUAACACAUGCAAGUCGAACGGAAAGGCCCUGCUUUUGUGGGGUGCUCGAGUGGCGAACGGGUGAGUAACACGUGUGUAACCUGCCCUUGACUUUGGGAUAACUUUAGGAAACUGGGGCUAAUACCGGAUAGGAGCUCCUGCUGCAUGGUGUGGGUUGGAAAGUUUCGGCGGUUGGGGAUGGACUCGCGGCUUAUCAGCUUGUUUGUGGGGUAGUGGCUUACCAAGGCUUUGACGGGUAGCCCGCCUGAGAGGGUGACCGGCCACAUUGGGACUGAGAUACGGCCCAGACUCCUACGGGACGCAGCAGUGGGGAGUCUUGCAGAAUGGGCGGAAGCCUGAUGAAGCAAUGCCGCGUGCGGGAUGACCGCCUUCGGGUUGUAAACCGCUUUCGCAUGUGCCGAAGCGUGAGUGACGGUAAUGAGUAAAGAAGCACCGGCUAACUACGUG
Molecule: ribosomal RNA, 468 nt
Filed under: uncultured bacterium
Lineage: Bacteria
Description: partial 16S ribosomal RNA
Rfam family: Bacterial small subunit ribosomal RNA
Source: RNAcentral